This is a long non-coding RNA of Passer domesticus (house sparrow), 389 nucleotides long. RefSeq lists it as uncharacterized. NCBI's taxonomy places the organism in Eukaryota, Metazoa, Chordata, Aves, Passeriformes, Passeridae. The record is from RefSeq and is a predicted model, not a curated record. The transcript has 2 exons.
CAAAGGCCAGCAGCAGACAACCCUGAACUACUGGACUAGACACAAAACUGGAAGAAACCAGGCUUUGCUGGCUCUAUGGCUCAUGGCAUGAUUUGGUGCUCUCCCUGCAGUGUCACUUUGCCUUCACUGCACCUGGGACUCAGCUGUCCUGAUUAGGUGAAGAAUAUUCCCUGCAGAGGUUUUCAAAAUUGUGAACAGCCCCCACCCUGUCCUGCAGACAGUGAAAAGCUACAGCAAGCCUCUUCUGGACUGAGCAGUGUCAUGGUACAUUUGGAUACCUCAUCUUCACAGUACAAGUAUUUACUUCAUAAAUUCAACUGUAUUUUAUGAGCUCAUUAGGAAAGCAAACAGAAAACCCUGGCAAAUAAAGGCUCCAUCCCUUUUGUGCA